GAUGAACGCUGGCGGCGUGCCUAAUACAUGCAAGUCGAGCGAACAGACGAGGCGCUUGCUCCUCUGACGUUAGCGGCGGACGGGUGAGUCACACGUGGAUAACCUCCCUAUAUGACUGGGAUCAUUUCGUGACACCGGAGAUUAUCGCGGAUAAUAUCUUGAACCGCAUUGUUCAAUAGUGAAAUUCGGUUUUGCUGUCUCUUCUCGCUGGUUCCGCGCGGCAUUAGCUAGUUGGUAAGGUCACGGCCUACCAAGGCGACGAUGCGUGGACGACCUGAGAGGGUGGUCGGCGACACUGGAACUGAGACACGGUCCAGACUCCUACGGUAGGCAGCAGUAGGGAAUCUUCCGCAGUGGGCGAAAGCCUGACGGAGCAACGCGGCGUGAGUGAUGAAGGUCUUCGGAUCGUAAAACUCUGUUAUUAGGGAAGAACAAAUGUGUAAGUAACUAUGCACGGAUUGACGGUACCUAAUCAGAAAGCCACGGCUAACUACGUG
This 497-nucleotide ribosomal RNA is filed under the name uncultured bacterium. RNAcentral describes it as "partial 16S ribosomal RNA". It matches the Rfam family "Bacterial small subunit ribosomal RNA", at positions 28 to 507 of the family's 1533-position model. The record is from RNAcentral.